Molecule: ribosomal RNA, 459 nt
Filed under: uncultured bacterium
Lineage: Bacteria
Description: partial 16S ribosomal RNA
Rfam family: Bacterial small subunit ribosomal RNA
Source: RNAcentral
CCUACGGGAGGCAGCAGUGAGGAAUAUUGGGCAAUGGCCGAGAGGCUGAACGAGCAAAGCCGCGUGAGGGAAGACGGCCCUACGGGUUGUAAACCUCUUUUGUCGGGGAGCAAAGCGAACCACGUGUGGUUCAUUGAGAGUACCCGACGAAAAAGCAUCGGCUAACUCCGUGCCAGCAGCCGCGGUAAUACGGGGGAUGAGAGCGUUAUCCGGAUUUAUUGGGUUGAAAGGGUGCGCAGGGGGAGUUGCAUGUCAGCGGUAAAAUGGCGGGGCCAAACCCCGCACUGCCGUUGAAACUGCAUCCCUUGAGUGCGCGAGAGGUAUGCGGAAUGCGUGGUGUAGCGGUGAAAUGCACAGAUAUCACGCAGAACUCCGAGUGCGAAGGCAGCAUACCGGCGCGCAACUGACGCUCAUGCACGAAAGCGUGGGUAUCGAACAGGAUUAGAUACCCUUGUAGUC